GACGAACGCUGGCGGCGUGCUUAACACAUGCAAGUCGAACGGAAAGGCCCUGCUUUUGUGGGGUGCUCGUGUGGCGAACGGGUGAGUAACACGUGAGUAACCUGCCCUUGUAUUUGGGAUAUCUCUAGGGAAAUGGGGCUCAUAUCGGAUAGGAGCUCCUGCUGCACGGUGGGGGUUGGAAAGUUUCGGCGGUUGGGGAUCGACUCGAGGCUUAUCAGCUUGUUGGUGAGGUAGUGGCGUACCAAGGCUUUGACGGGUAGGCGACCUGAGAGGGUGACCAGCCACAUUGGGACUGAGAUACGGCCCAGAAUCCUACGGGAGGCAGCAGUGGGGAAUAUUGCACAAUGGGCGGAAGCCUGAUGCAGCAACGCCGCGUGCGGGAUGACGGCCUUCGAGUUGUAAACCGCUUUCGCCUGUGACGAAGCGUGAGUGACGGUAAUGGGUAAAGAAGCACCGGCUAACUACGUG
RNAcentral lists this ribosomal RNA (468 nucleotides) under uncultured bacterium. RNAcentral's name for it is "partial 16S ribosomal RNA". It matches the Rfam family "Bacterial small subunit ribosomal RNA", at positions 28 to 507 of the family's 1533-position model. The record is from RNAcentral.